UCUUGUUGGUCCUUUGGAAAGAGAUAAUGAUAAUUAUUCUUAUAUACUAACGUGUCAAUGCGAACUGACAAAAUAUGUAGAAGGUUAUCCCUUAAUUUCCAAAAAAGCUGAUGAAGUAGCAAGAUCGUUUGUUAAUAAUUUUAUUCUCAGCCCACCAUCACGAGUCCAUAGGAGCUCUGGAAGUCACUCACAAACAUUUGAAUGCGUUUCUACGUAUUCAAACAGAGAAUCACCCGGAGAUGUGGAGUAAGUGGAUUCCUUUUUGGUGUUUCUCUUACAAUACAGGAGUUCAUACUGAAACAGAUUUCACCCCGUACGAGUUGGUGUUUGGUAAGAAAUGUUCUCUCCCUAGUAAUCUGACAAAUGAUGUAGAACCUCUUUAUAAUUAUGAGAGCUAUCCACAUGAAUUGAAAUACCGUUUGCAACUUUCUCAAAAAGAGGCUAGAAAUAAUUUGUUAAGAAGUAAGAUAAAUAGAAAGUAUGUGUAUGACAAAAAUAUUAAUCCUGUAAGCUAUAAGGAAAAUGAUUUAAUUUUAGUAAAAAAUAAUACACCUAGUAAUAAAUUAGAUAAUAUAUAUUUAGGCCCUUAUAAAGUUAUUAAGGACAUACCACCAAACGUAGAGAUAAUAAAUAAGUAUGGUAAAAUAGACAUUGUACAUAAAAACCGUACAAAACCUUAUUAUAAAACGUAAAAAAUAGAUUAUAUUUUAUCAAUUUGACUGUAAAAAAAAAAUAUAUUAUAUAAAUUCAUUUUUUUUUUCAAUAAGUGCGGUGAUGUGAGGUUAGACUAAGUACCUAUUUAAUCUUCUAUUAUGUUAAUCUUUGUACCACCUAUAUAAUUGUGUUAUUCCUUCAAAUAUAGUAGUAUUAUUCGAGCAUUCACUCGUUUCAUUUACCUGACUACGUCACAC
Long non-coding RNA from Amyelois transitella, 911 nucleotides. RefSeq lists it as uncharacterized. The transcript has 2 exons. NCBI's taxonomy places the organism in Eukaryota, Metazoa, Arthropoda, Insecta, Lepidoptera, Pyralidae. The record is from RefSeq and is a predicted model, not a curated record.